RNAcentral lists this ribosomal RNA (504 nucleotides) under uncultured Desulfobulbus sp. Its description in RNAcentral is "bacterial SSU rRNA". It matches the Rfam family "Bacterial small subunit ribosomal RNA", at positions 885 to 1382 of the family's 1533-position model. The record is from RNAcentral. Lineage: Bacteria; Pseudomonadati; Thermodesulfobacteriota; Desulfobulbia; Desulfobulbales; Desulfobulbaceae.
GCCAGCCCGCUCAGAAACUCAAAGGAAGUUGACGGGGCCCGCACAAGCGGUGGAGUAUGUGGUUAAUUCGAUGCAACGCGAAGAACCUUACCUGGUCUUGACAUCCCGGAGACCCUUAGGAAACUAGGGGGUGCUUCCAUCUGGAAGAAUCUGGAGACAGGUGCUGCAUGGCUGUCGUCAGCUCGUGUCGUGAGAUGUUGGGUUAAGUCCCGCAACGAGCGCAACCCUUGCCUUUAGUUGCCAGCAGUUCGGCUGGGCACUCUAAAGGGACUGCCGGUGUUAAACCGGAGGAAGGUGGGGAUGACGUCAAGUCCUCAUGGCCUUUAUGACCAGGGCUACACACGUACUACAAUGGCCGAUACAAAGGGCAGCGACACUGCGAGGUGAAGCCAAUCCCGUAAAAUCGGUCUCAGUCCGGAUUGGAGUCUGCAACUCGACUCCAUGAAGUUGGAAUCGCUAGUAAUCGUGGAUCAGCAUGCCACGGUGAAUACGUUCCCGGGCCUU